GCUGCCUGGAGAGGCCCGGCGCCGAGACCUGCCCAGUGGCCAGCUUGCGGCGUGCUUGCCGGCGUGUACGCAGCCAUCCAUCCCUCCAUUCAUUCCUGCAUCCAACAUUUACUGAGCGCAUCCUCUAUGCCAGGUGACUAUUUGCUGGUCUAUUUGGCUGAUUGUGGUAACCUCAGAAGUUCCUGGCACGUCGUAGGCCCUCAAAUAAAUGUGUGAUGAGCGAACGAAGCGUGGGCCCCACCAUUCUCCUGGUCAGACGGGACGCGGCGGGGCGCGGCGGAGAGUGGUGGACUUCGGGGGAGAGGACCCCGGCCGAGCACAAUGAGCCUCAUUCCUAGUCUGAAGGAAGACCCCCUGUUAGAACAGCUCAGAGAAGGUGGGCAUGUGGGGCUAAAUCUGCUCAGCGAGACAGAAACUCGCAGGGGCAGAGGAAGCAGGGUCCAGUGAAGAGGAGGUGCCUGCUGCCGGAAGAGCCCUCUUCCUCGCGCCCCCUCACCCGCAGGUUCUCUUCCUCUAGAAUAUUUGGGGAAAGGGGAUUUCUCCCCAGCAGUCCCAGUGUUGGUCCCUGUAGCAGCUCUGGCUUGCCACAGGUCUCCGCUGGCCUUGCUGCUGGUCACCUCCCUGGGGUACAGUGUUGACAUCCUUGACCUUGGCUCCGAGGAAAGGCGUGAGAGGAGACCACUGUCAAUCACGCCCGGCCCCAAAUCUCAGCAAAGCACCCUCCUUCAUACCUAACAAAUCGCUGGAACAGGACCGCUGUGUGGAGAGCUGACUAUGAGGAUUUGAAGAUAUCCCAAGGGUCUCACGACAUGGAAAAGGAAAACUUAAAGUUCAGCAUCUGAUCUCAGCAUCCCUAAAGGCCUCAGCACCUCGUGGAUUUUCUGAGACUUGCUUUGUGGCCAAGUACGCAAUAAAUGUUUGAAAAUGUUCCAUGUUUGCUUCGAAAGAGUAUGUAUAUUCUAGUUGUAAGGAUCUAGUUAGAUCUAUUGAAUCAGGCUUAUUGAUUGUGUUAUUUAUGUCUUUUAUAUCUUAUCAGUUUUUGCUUUUUUGAUCUAUCAGUUACUGAGAAAGAUGUGUUAAGAUUGCCAAUCAAUGUUGUGCAUUUGUCAAUUUCUCCCUGUAUUUAUGACAAUUUUUACUUUAUAUAUUUUGAGACUGUGUAUACAAGUUUUGAAUUGUAUUUUCCUGGGAAAGUGUUCAUUUUAUUAUUAUGAAUUAACACUUUAUCCCUAAUAAUACUUUUAAUUUAUAAUCCAUUUUAUCUGACAUUGAUAUAGCUGCACUAACUUUAUUUUGAUGAGUAUUUGUUUGAUAUAUCUUUUUCCAUCCUUUACUUCCAAACUUUCUGUAUCUUUAUGUUUCAGAUGUGUGUUUUAUAAGAUCAUGUAGAUAGAUUUUGUUGU
Long non-coding RNA from Diceros bicornis minor, 1403 nucleotides. RefSeq lists it as uncharacterized. The transcript is spliced from 3 exons. Lineage: Eukaryota; Metazoa; Chordata; Mammalia; Perissodactyla; Rhinocerotidae. The record is from RefSeq and is a predicted model, not a curated record.